GCCUAGCCCUAAAUCUUGAUGCCUACCCUACCUAAGCAUCCGCCCGAGAACUACGAGCACAAACGCUUAAAACUCUAAGGACUUGGCGGUGUCCCAAACCCACCUAGAGGAGCCUGUUCUAUAAUCGAUAAUCCACGAUACACCCAACCACCCCUCGCCAGCACAGCCUACAUACCGCCGUCGCCAGCUCACCUCGCCUGAGGGACCUACAGUGAGCACAAUAGCCGCAAAUCCCGCUAACAAGACAGGUCAAGGUAUAGCCUAUGGGGUGGAAGAAAUGGGCUACAUUUUCUAAGAUAGACUAGAUCAACGGAAAGAGGUGUGAAAUCACCUUUAGAAGGCGGAUUUAGCAGUAAAGUGAGAUAAUUAAGCCCCCUUUAAGCCGGCCCUGGGACACGU
This 399-nucleotide ribosomal RNA is filed under the name Fregata minor. Its description in RNAcentral is "partial 12S small subunit ribosomal RNA". It matches the Rfam family "Bacterial small subunit ribosomal RNA", at positions 794 to 1384 of the family's 1533-position model. Lineage: Eukaryota; Metazoa; Chordata; Aves; Suliformes; Fregatidae. The record is from RNAcentral.